Molecule: long non-coding RNA, 385 nt
Filed under: Malus domestica (apple)
Lineage: Eukaryota; Viridiplantae; Streptophyta; Magnoliopsida; Rosales; Rosaceae
Description: long non-coding RNA (MDOM_LNC010663)
Source: RNAcentral
CCUAGUUUGCUCAUGAAAUUGGCAGUGGCUUUAGGUUUUUAGGGAUCUUCCAGAAAUCGUAGGUUGCUCAUUAAGGUGACAGGGACUUUGAGUUUCUAAAGAUACACAAAGAUCGCAAGUUGGUCACAUACAAGAUGCUCAGUUACUUACGCUAGGUCACAUCAAGGAUGCUUAACCGCGUGAACCCCAAACAUGCAGCUGGAGCUAGAAUUCCAUAUCCUCGCAAAGAUCGCCUAUGUAUUGCACCAAGGAUGCUCAGCUACUAAUGCUAGUUGGUCAUAUCACAGAUGCUAAAAAAGGAUGUCCCUCUAACGAGUAGAGGGAAUACUAUUUCGUAACACAAAAGAUCACUAGUUGAUCAUAUACAAGAUGUUUAGCUGGGGUC